CUGUCUCUUGCUUCAACAGUGUCUGGAUGGAACGG
This is a regulatory RNA element of Felis catus (domestic cat), 35 nucleotides long. It matches the Rfam family "Iron response element I". NCBI's taxonomy places the organism in Eukaryota, Metazoa, Chordata, Mammalia, Carnivora, Felidae. The record is from Rfam.